This 135-nucleotide ribosomal RNA is filed under the name uncultured eukaryote. RNAcentral's name for it is "partial 18S ribosomal RNA". It matches the Rfam family "Eukaryotic small subunit ribosomal RNA", at positions 1299 to 1458 of the family's 1831-position model. The record is from RNAcentral.
UGGUGGAGUGAUUUGUCUGGUUAAUUCCGUUAACGAACGAGACCUUAGCCUACUAACUAGUCGCUUGAACUUGGUUCUUGCCGACUUCUUAGAGGGACUGUGUGAUCAAACACAAGGAAGUUUGAGGCAAUAACA